GAUUCGACUCGUUUGCUUCCAUCAAUCGUAGCCAACAACAUCCAUUUUCCUGCAGCAGUAACCUCCAACCCCUGUUGGCAAUGCCGGGGGACAGCAUUAACAGCAGCAGCAGCAGAAUUUGACCAUGGUAUGGUAUUGCGAAGAACUUUCCCCAUUAGAGGUUCCGUGCUUCGCGCACAUUCAAAAAUCCUCUUCAGACACGAAAACUAAACGACAAGGAGGUAUUUAUCAACUUGCUCAGCUGAAUUACCACCCGGAGGAACCCGAAUGCACUGAUUCCGUUGUAGAGUAGAAUGAAAAUAGGCGAGGUAAGCGAACGUAAUCGCAUGGUAUUUUAAUGUUCGCAUUUUUAUCCGGAUCAUACAACUGCUAUGAAUACAUCCGACUCAAUCAAUCGGCGAAUGAGAAAGAUGAUUUCCCUCAUCACCACAUUGCUUAUUUCCACUUCUGUCACACCAGCCAACAGCAUCAGCUUUCCCGCAGCAGUAUCCUUUAAGUCCAGGGUGCUAUUCCGGGGAACAGCAUCAACAGCAACAGCAGCAGGACCUGGCCAUCGAUAGUAUUUCGAGCAAUUUUCCCCAUUGGAGAUCCCGUGCUUCACGCACAUUGAAGAAUCCUCCUCAGCCACAUAUCUGUGUCAUCAAGGGCAAGGAGGUAUUCAUCAAUGUACUCAGUCGGAUUUGAAUCGUCAAUCCAGACAACCCGGAUGCACCGAUU
Long non-coding RNA from Toxorhynchites rutilus septentrionalis, 717 nucleotides. RefSeq lists it as uncharacterized. The record is from RefSeq and is a predicted model, not a curated record. Lineage: Eukaryota; Metazoa; Arthropoda; Insecta; Diptera; Culicidae. The transcript has 3 exons.